CGGCGCUUCCUCCAAGGUGAGGCUCAGCAAGGCCGAGGCAGCUGCUGCGCAGAAGCGGGAGCAGAUGGCAGCCGCGGCCGAGGCGCGCAUGGCUCGCCUGCAGCUGCUCUCGCAGCAACAGCAGCUCUGGUGGCGCACCUGCUGCUCAUCCAUGCCUGAAUCAGUGCAAAUUCUUUGGAUUGGAUUCUCCAUCACUGCCAUAUUGUCAGCUUGAGGACAAGACGCUAGAGGAUUGCGCUUGCUAUUCAGGUGACCGUGCGGGGCAGGCAGGGAAGAUCGCCAAGGAGGUCUCGAUGGGGAAGCUCCAUACGUGAUGUUGCUCCGUGGGUCUUGGGCCUCGCAGCGGUGUACAUUGCUGCAUCACAGAGGAAGCACGCACGAUGAAUCACAGAGCAUUUCGUGGUCUUGCGUACUACUUCACAGUACUGUGGCAGCCUGGCCAGGCCAGUCCAGGGGAGCUUCCCUGGCUAGUCACCAAAUGGUUGUAGGUCCACCUCGCGGCGCCAGAUGUAGCAUGAAGCAUAGGAAAGGAUGAACAGGAAAGAGACUUGCUAGUGCUCAUAAGGAAGAGUAUGCCAGUCUCUGACGAUUGUGGCUGGAAGCGCUGUGCAUGCAUGAGGAGUGCUGAAC
RNAcentral lists this long non-coding RNA (630 nucleotides) under Coccomyxa subellipsoidea. Its description in RNAcentral is "long non-coding RNA (CSUB_LNC000583)". Lineage: Eukaryota; Viridiplantae; Chlorophyta; Trebouxiophyceae; Coccomyxaceae. The record is from RNAcentral.